RNAcentral lists this ribosomal RNA (87 nucleotides) under Monotropa uniflora (ghost pipe). RNAcentral describes it as "partial 5.8S ribosomal RNA". It matches the Rfam family "5.8S ribosomal RNA", at positions 73 to 154 of the family's 154-position model. Rfam says of the family: 5.8S ribosomal RNA (5.8S rRNA) is a component of the large subunit of the eukaryotic ribosome. It is transcribed by RNA polymerase I as part of the 45S precursor that also contains 18S and 28S rRNA. Lineage: Eukaryota; Viridiplantae; Streptophyta; Magnoliopsida; Ericales; Ericaceae. The record is from RNAcentral.
UGCAGAAUCCCGUGAACCAUCGAGUCUUUGAACGCAAGUUGCGCCUGAAGCCAUUAGGCUAAAGGCACGUCUGCUUGGGCGUCACGC